AUUGAACGCUGGCGGCAUGCCUUACACAUGCAAGUCGAACGGCAGCACGGGUGCUUGCACCUGGUGGCGAGUGGCGAACGGGUGAGUAAUACAUCGGAACAUGUCCUGUAGUGGGGGAUAGCCCGGCGAAAGCCGGAUUAAUACCGCAUACGAUCUACGGAUGAAAGCGGGGGACCUUCGGGCCUCGCGCUAUAGGGUUGGCCGAUGGCUGAUUAGCUAGUUGGUGGGGUAAAGGCCCACCAAGGCGACGAUCAGUAGCUGGUCUGAGAGGACGACCAGCCACACUGGAACUGAGACACGGCCCAGACUCCUACGGGAGGCAGCAGUGGGGAAUUUUGGACAAUGGGCGAAAGCCUGAUCCAGCAAUGCCGCGUGUGUGAAGAAGGCCUUCGGGUUGUAAAGCACUUUUGUCCGGAAAGAAAAGCUUGGCCCUAAUACGGUCGGGGGAUGACGGUACCGGAAGAAUAAGCACCGGCUAACUACGUG
Molecule: ribosomal RNA, 486 nt
Filed under: uncultured bacterium
Lineage: Bacteria
Description: partial 16S ribosomal RNA
Rfam family: Bacterial small subunit ribosomal RNA
Source: RNAcentral